Harpia harpyja (harpy eagle) is the source of this 832-nucleotide long non-coding RNA. RefSeq lists it as uncharacterized. The transcript has 2 exons. The record is from RefSeq and is a predicted model, not a curated record. Lineage: Eukaryota; Metazoa; Chordata; Aves; Accipitriformes; Accipitridae.
UACCUGUCUCAUUUGUUGUCAAAACUGGAAAGUGUUUAUCAGAAGAACAGGGGAUUUGAUAAGCAGACAGAAGGCAAUGGACGUUAUAGAAAUCCAUGUUGCCAGUAGUGUAGGAAAGGCAGAGCCCUGCUCCACCAGCCAACUUCAGUUGGAGCUGUGUUUCGAACUCAUCAAGUGCUGAAAAGCCCCCGAAGUUCUUUGUAUGCCUUGCUAGUUUUUUGAUUUUUUUUUUUUUUUUAAUCCAAAUAACUUUGGGCGUUAGUUCCCUAUCUGUAAAAUGAAGGGGAUAAUAGCUCUUACAUGGUGUUAGAAGAAGAGUAUUUAUUUAUCUAUUUAGCGGAUCAGUGAGGAGUGAGUCGUGAAGAAAUUCAUCACUGUGUUUUCAGGGCAAGGUUCGAAUGAAGUGUAAUAAAAAUAUGGUCCAUGCAUUGUUGUUAAAUUUUUCCAAUUUAUACAUUCUCAUUAAGCUAGCUCUAUCCAUUUCAUGUACUGAGCGAGCCAGAUAGCCUGUGGAAAAAUCGUAUGUGCUCAUGUAAUUAAAGGUUGUGUUAUAAUGCAUAUUCACAAAGAGACUAUGGUGUAGUUAAAUGUGGCACUUUACCUAAUUUUAUAUAUUGACUUCACAGUUUUGCUAUAUGAAAGUUGCAGCAUUGUCUUUUGUACAUAUGUGUGUGUGUGUGUACACAUGGGUGGGCACAUGCACAGAAUUUGUCUGUUAACCUGUUUGAAUUACAAUCAGAACAACUCUGAGGAGACUUACCUGUGGAAUUUAAAAUUGUUCUUGGUAUAUUAUAAUAACCUGAAAUAAAGUUGUAUUCAGUCUCACUUGAAA